Molecule: long non-coding RNA, 246 nt
Filed under: Phoenix dactylifera (date palm)
Lineage: Eukaryota; Viridiplantae; Streptophyta; Magnoliopsida; Arecales; Arecaceae
Description: long non-coding RNA (PDAC_LNC012825)
Source: RNAcentral
UGUAGAUUUGUUGGUGAACCCGUAAAACCAACGGUGAAGGUUUGUUGGUGAGCCCGUAAAACCAACAUAGGUUUUUGGUGAUCCCGAAAAACCAAGUGUAAAGGUUUUUGGAUUGUGAGCCCGGAAAACAAUCCAACUGUAAUCCGCGGGAUUAUAGUGAAUUCCCAAGGGGUCGCUUGGGGAGUGGACGUAGGUGCAUAGGAGAGCACCGAACCACUAUACUUCUUGUUGUUUGUAUUGUGUAUU